This 545-nucleotide ribosomal RNA is filed under the name uncultured bacterium. Its description in RNAcentral is "bacterial SSU rRNA". It matches the Rfam family "Bacterial small subunit ribosomal RNA", at positions 777 to 1320 of the family's 1533-position model. The record is from RNAcentral.
AAUAGAUACCCGGGUAGUCCACGCCGUAAACGAUGAGUGCUAAGUGUUAGGGGGUUUCCGCCCCUUAGUGCUGCAGCUAACGCAUUAAGCACUCCGCCUGGGGAGUACGGUCGCAAGACUGAAACUCAAAGGAAUUGACGGGGGCCCGCACAAGCGGUGGAGCAUGUGGUUUAAUUCGAAGCAACGCGAAGAACCUUACCAGGUCUUGACAUCCCAUUGACCACUAUGGAGACAUAGUUUUCCCUUCGGGGACAACGGUGACAGGUGGUGCAUGGUUGUCGUCAGCUCGUGUCGUGAGAUGUUGGGUUAAGUCCCGCAACGAGCGCAACCCUUGUUCUUAGUUGCCAUCAUUUAGUUGGGCACUCUAAGGAGACUGCCGGUGACAAACCGGAGGAAGGUGGGGAUGACGUCAAAUCAUCAUGCCCCUUAUGACCGUGGGCUACACACGUGCUACAAUGGACGGUACAAACGGUUGCCAACCCGCGAGGGGAGCUAAUCCGAUAAAACCGUUCUCAGUUCGGAUUGUAGGCUGCAACUCGCCUACA